This 1431-nucleotide ribosomal RNA is filed under the name metagenome. RNAcentral describes it as "bacterial SSU rRNA". It matches the Rfam family "Bacterial small subunit ribosomal RNA". The record is from RNAcentral.
AGAGUUUGAUCAUGGCUCAGGAUGAACGCUGGCGGCGUGCUUAACACAUGCAAGUCGAACGAAGCACUUUAUUUGAUUUCCUUCGGGACUGAUUAUUUUGUGACUGAGUGGCGGACGGGUGAGUAACGCGUGGGUAACCUGCCUUGUACAGGGGGAUAACAGUUGGAAACGGCUGCUAAUACCGCAUAAGCGCACAGCAUCACAUGAUGCAGUGUGAAAAACUCCGGUGGUAUAAGAUGGACCCGCGUUGGAUUAGCUAGUUGGUGAGGUAACGGCCCACCAAGGCGACGAUCCAUAGCCGACCUGAGAGGGUGACCGGCCACAUUGGGACUGAGACACGGCCCAAACUCCUACGGGAGGCAGCAGUGGGGAAUAUUGCACAAUGGGCGAAAGCCUGAUGCAGCGACGCCGCGUGAGCGAAGAAGUAUUUCGGUAUGUAAAGCUCUAUCAGCAGGGAAGAUAAUGACGGUACCUGACUAAGAAGCACCGGCUAAAUACGUGCCAGCAGCCGCGGUAAUACGUAUGGUGCAAGCGUUAUCCGGAUUUACUGGGUGUAAAGGGAGCGCAGGCGGUGCGGCAAGUCUGAUGCGAAAUCCCCGGGCUCAACCUGGGAAUUGCAUUUGUGACUGCAGGACUAGAGUUCAUCAGAGGGGGGUGGAAUUCCAAGUGUAGCAGUGAAAUGCGUAGAUAUUUGGAAGAACACCAAUGGCGAAGGCAGCCCCCUGGGAUGCGACUGACGCUCAUGCACGAAAGCGUGGGGAGCAAACAGGAUUAGAUACCCUGGUAGUCCACGCCCUAAACGAUGUCUACUGGUUGUUGGGGUUUUUUAACCUUGGUAACGAAGCUAACGCGUGAAGUAGACCGCCUGGGGAGUACGGUCGCAAGAUUAAAACUCAAAGGAAUUGACGGGGACCCGCACAAGCGGUGGAUGAUGUGGAUUAAUUCGAUGCAACGCGAAAAACCUUACCUAGCCUUGACAUGCCAGGAAUCCUGAAGAGAUUCGGGGGUGCCCGCAAGGGAAUCUGGGCACAGGUGCUGCAUGGCUGUCGUCAGCUCGUGUCGUGAGAUGUUGGGUUAAGUCCCGCAACGAGCGCAACCCUUGUCACUAGUUGCUACGCGAGAGCACUCUAGUGAGACUGCCGGUGACAAACCGGAGGAAGGUGGGGAUGACGUCAAGUCCUCAUGGCCCUUAUGGCUAGGGCCUCACACGUCAUACAAUGGUCGGAACGGAGGGCAGCGAAGCCGCGAGGUGGAGCAAAUCCCAGAAAACCGAUCGUAGUCCGGAUUGCAGUCUGCAACUCGACUGCAUGAAGUCGGAAUCGCUAGUAAUCGCGGAACAGCAUGCCGCGGUGAAUACGUUCCCGGGUCUUGUACACACCGCCCGUCACACCAUGGGAGUGGGGUUCACCAGAAGACGUUUGUUUAACCGCA